Paramuricea clavata is the source of this 461-nucleotide non-coding RNA. Lineage: Eukaryota; Metazoa; Cnidaria; Anthozoa; Malacalcyonacea; Plexauridae. The record is from the annotation of a GenBank genome assembly.
AGAACCCCAAAUACAGCUGUUGUUGGAGGUCCGUCGUAUUACGUUGCGAGAUGAGGCUCCAGAUGGUUUCAUGUCCGCGUUGUUGACCAUCUCACGGUUUGCAGACAACCUGCACAACACUGAAGAUCCUUUAUUACGAAGAUAUUAUAAUGACGCUGAAUAUGAUAAGGCAAAACCUCGUUUGGACGAAAUUCUUCGCAGUUCAGGUAUCAAAAUCUCAUAAUCCCAAUUAAAUUACCUUUUUUAUUAUUCUAGAUUAUUUUAGCGCGAUUAUUUUAAUGAGAGAAUUACAUAACUUGAAAUCAAUUAGUUUAUCAAUAUAUAAAUGGGUUUAUGAACAUUUCAGAACGUUUUGCGAACAUCAAAUAGAAAUUUUAUAUCAAACAUAAUAACAUGCAGUGUACUUGGGAAAUUCAUAGUUUUGUAAUUAAAAAUGAAUUUAAUGAUAGUGUGACAACCAC